AAUUUUUUUUAUGAUGAAAUAAAUUAGUAUAUAUAUAUAGUUAUAGCACUUAUAUAUCAUUGAUCUUUUAGUUGUUUUUGAUUGCUUCCACUGUCCUUAUUUGUAAGUCGCUUUGGAUAAAAGCGUCUGAUAAAUGAAUAAAUGUAUGAUGGGCUCCCUUGUAAAAGAGAUUUGAUCUCAAUGGGACAUCACCUGGUUAAAUAAAGGAAAAAUAAAAAAUCUACUUUUUUUUCUUCUUUUUUUUUUGAAACAGAUAUGUGUUUCUCUUUAAGUUUUUCUGAUGAAUAAAAAUACAUUUAUUUAAAAUAAAAUUUGUUUGUAACAACAAAGGUCUAUCUAUUCAAAAUCAAGGAUCAUUAUUCGUUAACCAUAAUGCAUAAAUGUGCUUCACGAACACUAACAUCACACAUACAGGAGAUGCUGCAGAGCUCCUUCAUCUCACACACACUGGCCAUCUGGUCUGGUAGGUUGAGCAGGAACCCCCUUCCCUUCUGUGUCUCAUCUCUGUUACAGCCUCAGAUUGAUUAGUGUCUUCUAUUUCCCCUUUUGGCUCUAAUUUUCAGUUAGCAGGAGAAUCAGUCUGAGUAAUGACCUUGAAUGCUAUUGGAACAAACUGUGGUGUGCUUACAGAUCUGCUUCUAAUGUUUUAUUUGGACCUUAGUUAUCCAGCUGUUCUUUUCUUGAGCCAGUAUGAUCCAACUGUGGGUGAUUGUUUUCAGUCAAUGGACUGCAGAGAAAGUAAACGAAGAGACAAUUGUAGCAAAAAAAGAUUGUAAUAAGACUAAAAGGAUGGGAAGCAUUAACAAAUACUUUGACAGAGACUGUUGUGUCCAGGUUGAUCUCUCCCUGCAGUCACACGGAUGUAGUGUUUGAUAAUAUAAGGUAAGGAUUGUGUUUGAUAACGAGCUGUAAUUAGUUUGCUCUAAAGGGGUUUUGACAAAAAAAAAAAGAAAAAAAAAGCCCCUUGCCCUGUGCAGUCCUUAUGCACACUGUAACUGGCUGUUUAUCUGAUGUAAUAUAAAUACACAAGCAUAUAAUUACACAAAUACAACUGAAGCGCCAUUUACUAAGAGUGACAAAUAACAGGGCAUUUUAUUGAUGGAUUGGUUUCUAUUCAUAGUGUUGUUUAGUAGCCCCGCCCACAGUGAAAAAAAUCUAAUUUUGCCAAAAUAUUUUCCAGAACUGUAUAAUAAAUAUAAAAAAUCAUCUGACACAAUUUCAUGUUGAAUGACAGAUUUUGAAAUUAACAUGAAUGUCUAGGUUUAGACUAUGCUGGCUGAUCAAAAUCGUUUCUGAAUAAUAUCCAUCCUCUGAUCCGGAAACCGAUCGAGCACAGCCAUCUUGUGGGACAUCUCAAUUCUCUAAUUGCACCGCGAGGAUCGAGGAGUGAGGAGGCUUCACGAGCAUGAAGUUUUAUUAAGCAUGAAGUUAUGUGUGUUAUGUUUUGAUAGUGACUGUAAUUUUGAUGUAUAACGUUUACUUUUCAGCACAGUCGUAAUUAUAUUUAUUUACGUCUC
Molecule: long non-coding RNA, 1517 nt
Organism: Carassius gibelio (silver crucian carp)
Lineage: Eukaryota; Metazoa; Chordata; Actinopteri; Cypriniformes; Cyprinidae
Exons: 2
Source: RefSeq, a predicted model, not a curated record